Molecule: long non-coding RNA, 673 nt
Filed under: Homo sapiens (human)
Lineage: Eukaryota; Metazoa; Chordata; Mammalia; Primates; Hominidae
Description: HSALNT0161011
Source: RNAcentral
AAGAAAGAAAACUUUGAAAAAAUAAUAACUGCCAACACUGCAGAUCUUCCUAAUCAGUUAUUGACAGAGAUAUCACUAAAGUAACUGCAUAACUAGUGGCCCCUCCCAACUAUGGGUGGCCUGAUGUUAGCCUUUUUCAGUAGAGGGUCCUGAAGAGGCACUAGAAGAGGAAGAAGAUUUUCUUCCUAGUUCUGUGUAUCUCUCUCUGCUUCUUCCUCAGGUAGUGUGUAGUAUAUUUUAUAGUACUCACCCCCAGAAAAUUUCAACAGCAUCACCUGAUGGAUGGCUUCCUGGUAAGGUCCCUGGCAUGGCAGAUUCCUAUGGGCAGCUUCCCCCAGAACUUCGUAGCAAAAUCCACCAGUGCAGAGCCUCCCUUAGGGAAGUUUUCCAACAUAUCACCCUUGUGAACAGCUUCCCAGCAGGAAGUACAACACCUCUCUGGAAGGUGGCUUUUCCUAGCAUCACAGAGGGCAGAUUCCUAAGUGUACCACCCUCAUGGACACCUUCCCAGUGAGUUCGAGCUCCACCAGCCUUGCAGCCCAGCAGACUUCUCUGCCAUGUAGUGAUGAAAGCUGCUCCCUCUUCAGAAGUUCUGCAUCUUAGCCCUGCGUUGCUGGGAGGGAAUGAUUGGGGAUAUUCAUAUUCUGAUUCCAUCCUAGGAGUUGAAGUUGUU